GUACUCUGCAAGCAAGCUUAGGCAUUCUACAAAAGGGUCAGUCUUGUAUGUACAACCAGUUAUUAAACUUUGAACCUACUGUACAUGUGCACUGUCAAUUCAUACAUAUUAAGAAUGAGUGAGUAAGAAUCUGGCUGGGACACAAACACGUGUCACUCCUGAGAUCCAGUUUAAAAAAACCUGAAUAAAUAUGCUAAUUGCAUUUUCCAUGAGCCCAUUCCUUAAGAUCGCCAUCAUCAUAAAUGUAAUUAGUUUAAGGCAUUGGCAUGUUGACAGCCACUGUGGAAUUUCUAUUGCAAAUCUCAAAGGUUAUAUAUAAGAUGAUUAUGCUUUCAAGCCAUCUGUGAACAAGUGCAGAAAACAUGUUUUUAAUUUUAUGUGGCAGGGGCUUUUAAGUUGAAUAAUUUCUGUGCUUUCAAAGAGGAUCAAGCUAAGGCCUUAACUUCAGGUUUUACAUCGGUUGGGAGCCACUCAGACAUGAAUAUUUAUUUGAUUGUACAUACGUUGCAGGAAAAUCAGCUUGAUUGAACUGCAAGUAGCUUAGUCAAGUAGACCUGUGAUUUCUUCAGGGGUUAAAAGUUAUCCAGAGACCAUGCAUGUGAAUAUGAAUGAACCUCUUUCACACUCCAUCAGUUUCCGUAUAGCAGUUUAGUUUAACUUUUGGUACAUGAUAGAGCAGCUCUUUCCUUUGUGUUAGUUUGCUCAUAUUAAAAGUCCCCUUUCCUUUGUUUUUUCAAUAAACUUCAGUAAAGGCUUAACAGACCAGGAGACCUGAAUUGUAAAACUAGCAAGAAGUUGCUAUACAGUGUAAAUCUGUCACAUUGUUUUAUAAUAUACAGUAGUUUUGUAGUGCUUUCGUUAACUUUGCCUGAUUCUGUAUGGAAGACACUUAUAUUGAGGUGCUCGUGAAUGAUAUGCUGCUUUGCAUUCAUUUAAAUAUUGCCCAGCCCUCCAACUUUACCAACAAUACUCAGGUAUGCAAUGACAAGAGCAGAAAAAAGAUGUCAUCAAUUUCAGCUGACAUAAAAAAUAAAAUCAUACUGUUCAUACAUUUUACUUAGUUUUUUGUCAGUCCACAAAAUAACAAACAAUUAAUGGCAUAAAUCAACUUAACCCCUACGACACCAGCUUUUUUCUAGAUUCGUUGUGCAUGUGCUAAUUCCAGUGCCUUUUUAAAGGGACAAUUUAAAAGUGUAAUGCCCCGUGCAUUGAAAAAAUAUAGUUUUACUACAUUCUUUAGAAAGAUGGUACACAAUCCUCUCAAUUAAAUCCUCAUGGAUUGCCACAGCCAAUGAUGUUGUGAGUAGAGCUGUCAUUACUUCACUAGUAGAUGUUAUCUAAAGGUAACAAAAACAGAAAAAUAUAAUAAAGCAAAGUAAAAGACUCAAGUACUGGAUAGUAAAGCAUUAUAAAAAACAAGUCAUGGUGAAGCAAGGUAAAAACACAAUAUAAGCAUGAUUAAAACAUAAUAAACUGCAACAUUAUUAUGCAAAUUGACUGUAGUAAACUUUAGUUAAGGAUGCAGCUUAUUCAUCCUGGUGUUUGUGUUUGCAGCUACAGAUCAAGCCUUUGUGACUCUUGCAACCAGUGAUGUUUACUUUCAGGGAACCCUGGUUCUUGGCCAUUCACUCCGACACCAGAGGACCUCCGGCAGCUGGUCAUUUUAACAACACCCCAGGUCUCCAGCUUCAUGAGGAUGAUCCUCAGGGGUGUGUUUUGAUGGGGUCAUUGAGGUGAAGGGGAAAUACAGCAGAGACGCCACACACUUGGCACUGAUGAAGCGUCCAAAGCUUGGGAUAACCUUCACCAAACUCCAUUGCUCUGCGUUAAUCAAGUACACCAAAUGAGUCUUUCUGGAUGCCAACACCCAGGUGCCGUGUAAUGUGGAUGAAUUGUUUGAUCGAGAAGAGAUCUUAGCAGCCCCUGAUCCUGGUUGGCCAGACUGCUUUAACACUGGGGUAUUUGUGUUCAGGCCUUCUUUGCAAACAUACAACAGAUUAUUUCAGCUUGCAGUGGAGCAUGUCAGCUUUGAUGAUAAGCCAUGAAUGACAUUUGUAACACAAAACCAUACAGUUUAAAUACAGCCAAUGGUUACUACCUUGCUUACAGCAUAACAUUCUGCAAGAAUCCCUGAAUGCAUAGUGUAACAGUGCUGCAUUAUAAUGAGAUUUUAUAUAUUAUUAUUACAAUCAAAAAGAUAAGCUAGCAUUGUCAGUACUCAGAGUAGAGUAGAGUAGUCAGCAGCUAAAUUUGUAUAUCUGCACUCCACCAGCUGUUUACUGACUACAAUACGUCAGGAACUGUGCUAAAAGAAAUACAAAGGUCAAGGCUAUCUAUUUUUUAUUUAGAAUCAUCGGGCAAUCUCAGUCUCAAUUCAAGAGUCAGCAAAAAAAGAGCAAGAGAAAUACACCUGCUUUAUACUUUAUGUUGUGGUAACCACUGGGAUAAUUGUUUAGUAAAAUAAAAGUAUGAGUCCUUGAAGAAAAAACUAUAUACAGUAAAUUAUAUAGAAAUUGUGUUUUUUAUUUAAGGAGGAUACCAGGGCCUCUUAAACUCUUUCUUCAUGUUCUGGCCAGUAAAGGAUAUUG
Polyodon spathula (Mississippi paddlefish) is the source of this 2588-nucleotide long non-coding RNA. RefSeq lists it as uncharacterized. NCBI's taxonomy places the organism in Eukaryota, Metazoa, Chordata, Actinopteri, Acipenseriformes, Polyodontidae. The record is from RefSeq and is a predicted model, not a curated record. The transcript is spliced from 3 exons.